GCCAGGGUGGUGUAGUGGUUAGCACAUCUGCUUAGUGUGCAGAAGACCCAGGUUCAAAUCCCAGCCUUGGUU
Molecule: non-coding RNA, 72 nt
Organism: Schistocerca serialis cubense
Lineage: Eukaryota; Metazoa; Arthropoda; Insecta; Orthoptera; Acrididae
Source: the annotation of a RefSeq genome assembly